AUGUGUAUUCCAAAAAAUGAAGGAGGUAUGGGUUUUUGUGAUAUGCAUUGCUUCAAUGUUGCUUUAUUGGCUAAACAAGUGUGGUGUCUCCUUGAUAAUCCCUAUUCUCUGUGCGCUAACAUAUAGAGAGCAAAGUAUUUUCCCGAUGUUGAUUUGAUGAAUGCAAAAUUUAAAAAGAUCAUCUUUUACUUGGCAAAAUAUUAUACGAGAGUCAACUUUUUGAAGCAUGGGUAUAUCUGGCGAGUUGAGAAUGGAUGUGAUAUCAAUAUGUGGGAAGAUGCAUGGUUCCUGAAUUGUGCGAGUAGAAACAUUAUUACUCCUCGAGGGGAUCACCUUUCGUCCAAGGUUUUGGAUAUUAUUAAUCUAGUUACAAAUUUUUGGGAUGAAGAUUUGGUGAGACGGAAGUUGUGGUCUAUUGAUGCCCAACGUGUCCUUGCGACUCCGCUUACUUUGCAUGACAUGUCAGAUUUUAUUUCUUGGAGCUAUACAAAAAAAUGA
This 498-nucleotide ribosomal RNA is filed under the name Triticum aestivum (bread wheat). RNAcentral describes it as "partial small subunit ribosomal RNA". The record is from RNAcentral. Lineage: Eukaryota; Viridiplantae; Streptophyta; Magnoliopsida; Poales; Poaceae.